RNAcentral lists this ribosomal RNA (246 nucleotides) under uncultured bacterium. Its description in RNAcentral is "partial 16S ribosomal RNA". It matches the Rfam family "Bacterial small subunit ribosomal RNA", at positions 527 to 772 of the family's 1533-position model. The record is from RNAcentral.
GUAGGGGGCAAGCGUUAUCCGGAUUUACUGGGUGUAAAGGGAGCGUAGACGGUGUUGCAAGUCUGAUGUGAAAGGCGGGGGCUCAACCCCUGGACUGCAUUGGAAACUGUGAUACUUGAGUGCCGGAGAGGUAAGCGGAAUUCCUAGUGUAGCGGUGAAAUGCGUAGAUAUUAGGAGGAACACCAGUGGCGAAGGCGGCUUACUGGACGGUAACUGACGUUGAGGCUCGAAAGCGUGGGGAGCAAA